Molecule: small nucleolar RNA, 97 nt
Filed under: Macleaya cordata
Lineage: Eukaryota; Viridiplantae; Streptophyta; Magnoliopsida; Ranunculales; Papaveraceae
Description: Small nucleolar RNA R64/Z200 family
Rfam family: Small nucleolar RNA R64/Z200 family
About the family: This family of plant small nucleolar RNAs belong to the C/D class of snoRNA which contain the C (UGAUGA) and D (CUGA) box motifs. This family includes Arabidopsis thaliana snoRNA R64 and Oryza sativa snoRNAs Z200 and J16.
Source: Rfam by way of RNAcentral
UUUCUGUGAUGGUGAGUUAUGAAAAUCUUCACAUGUCAGACUUCAGAGAUUUUUCCACAAAUCUAUGAGAAGAGAAUUCAUUUUUCCUGAGCAGAAU